RNAcentral lists this ribosomal RNA (732 nucleotides) under uncultured archaeon. RNAcentral describes it as "bacterial SSU rRNA". It matches the Rfam family "Archaeal small subunit ribosomal RNA", at positions 128 to 860 of the family's 1478-position model. The record is from RNAcentral.
AACUUUGGGAAACUGAAGCUAAAACCUGAUAAGUGAGAAAUACUGGAACGUUUUCUCUCGGAAAAGCGAUGCCUAAGGAUGGGACAGCGGCUGAUUAGGCUGUUGGCGAGGUAACGGCUCACCAAACCAAUGAUCAGUACGGGCCAUGGAAGUGGGAGCCCGGAGAAGGGCACUGAGAUAAGGGCCCUAGCCCUACGGGGUGCAGCAGGCGCGAAAACUCUACAAUGCACGAAAGUGCGAUAGGGGAAUCCUAAGUGCUUAUGAUUUUAUCAUAAGCUUUUUUUGAGAGUAAUUAUCUCGAAGAAUAAGUGGUGGGCAAGACGGGUGCCAGCCGCCGCGGUAACACCUGCGCCACAAGUGGCAAUCAGUAUUAUUGGGCCUAAAGCGUUCGUAGCCGGACUUUUAAGUCCCUUGUGAAAUCGUCGGGCUAAACCCGACGGCGUGCGAGGGAAACUGUAAGUCUAGGAACCGGAGAGAAGUAAGAAGUAUUCUGGGGGGGAGCGGUAAAAUGUUAUAAUCCUCAGAGGACUACCUAUGGCGAAGGCAUCUUACUAGAACGGAUUCGACGGUGAGGAACGAAAGCUAGGGGAGCGAUCGGGAUUAGAUACCCCAGUAGUCCUAGCUGUAAACGCUGUAAGCAAGGCGUUGCAGAUUUCAAGUGAAUCUGCAGUGUCGAAGAGAAGUCGAUAAGCUUACCGCCUGGGAAGUACGGUCGCAAGACUGAAACUUAAA